CCCGGAUACAUAUCCGUGGCGUAUCCACGUAUCCCCGAUUAAAUGGGCCGAAAACUUCGGAUCGGAAACGUUUCCGCGCCUGGAUUCGGCCCAGCCGGCCCAACAUCACAGCACAUCCCACCUCCUGCCCUACUCCCGUGACCCGUCGGGCGUCGGCUCUCCCACGCGCAGCCGCCUCACGCAGCGCAUCGCCGCAUCCUCCCGCUCGACCUGACGGCUGACGCAGCGCCUCCGCCUCUCGUCGGCCGCCGUCCGCUAGCCGCCGUCCGUGAGGCCGCCUCCUGCCAGCCGCCGUCCGCCUCCCGCGGCCACGGGCCGCGAGGCCGCCUCCCGCCGGCCGCAGGCUGCCUCCCGUCGGCCUCCGUCCGCCCGUGAUUACUCCCGUCGGCCUCCGGCGUAAGGAGCCCCAGCCCCUGUUCAGGAAACAUAGCUGAAUGGCUUCAAGUGCACGGAAUAUCAUGUUUCGGCAUCUCAAGACACUAACUAUAAGCCCUGCACUGGCAUCUGGUGUGACCAGUCAGCAUCACCAGCUUCAACAGCGUGCACCAGUGAGUGGCACAGCCAAAGGAAAGGCCAAGCUCAAAGCAGGACAGCAAUUGAAGCGUUCCACCAUCGGGGCAAAGAAAGGGGCGCCUUCCACUGGUGGGGGUGGGGGUGGGGGUGGGGGUGGACGUGGUCGUCGUGAGGCCAUGGAGCGCAUUACUCAGAUUUCAGAGUCUUGUCUCAAUGCCUCUACUCCCCUGCGGCACUUGUCCCCAAAGGAGCGUCUUCGUGAGGCCAAACGUGAGGAGCUUGGACUUAUAUCCAAGGAGAGGCAACGCGAGCUUGAUGUAGCCAAGGCCAAGGCCAAAGCUAAAGCCAAAUCCAAAGGUACUGGUGCAGAUGAUGGAGACCAUGUGCUGAUGGGUCCACCGGGCCUUGACUAUAUCAGUCUUGGGCUGGUUGAUGAGGAGGCAAUCCCCAAGUAUGAGCUCACAGUCGAGGAUGGUAGGCGACUUGCCAAAGAAUACAGUCGUGUGCUUAUGCGGCGGCACCGUGCAAGACAAACAGCUGAGUCAACGCUUCUGACACUCAAAAAGGAGGCCAUUGCUGCGCUCCCUGAGAAGCUGCAAGCUGCUGCUAUGGUACCUGACAUGACACCUUUCCCUGCAAACCGGUACAUGGCGACACUCACACCACCAAUUGAAGGAUACAUUGAAAAAGUGCGGGAUGCUGCCAAGAAGCACUCUGUGAAGGAGAAACUUCGCUGAGAAAUUCUAGGGAGGAAACUGUUUCCACAUAAGGAAAACUGUGUUUCUGUUUUUUUCAAUUAAGCUCUCUCUUGCAUUCAGUAAAUCCAGUAUCACUACCUUCAAACAUGCUAUGUCUUGAGUUUGCAUCUUUUAUCAGUAUUGAGUUUCUGGUGAAUCAAUAUUCAGUCUAAUAUAAAAGACAAGUUGUCAGAAACUGUGCAUCUUUGCACAACCUACAAUUGUCAAAUUUUGUGGUCCAGUCAGAAAUCCUGAUUCGAAAGAGCAGCCUUGGUCUAGACAUAAGUCCUUUUGCUAAUUGUUUUUUGUGCAACGCUGCAGCCCACAGGAAUGCUGCUUUCUGUAGCUUUUGCUGGACUGCUAUUGUUCAUUCUUGGGGAUUUUCGAUGUUUGUUGUUGACAGCUGACUUGUGUAAUAAGGGCGCAGCAUGAAUCAGGGAGACUGAAGAAUCUCUUGAUUGUGUAUGAACCGGUUGCCUUGAUUGUGUUUUUCAUGCCUUAUGAUUCUGAUUCCACUUGCA
RNA transcript from Setaria italica (foxtail millet), 1771 nucleotides. RefSeq lists it as uncharacterized. The transcript is spliced from 4 exons. NCBI's taxonomy places the organism in Eukaryota, Viridiplantae, Streptophyta, Magnoliopsida, Poales, Poaceae. The record is from RefSeq and is a predicted model, not a curated record.